RNAcentral lists this long non-coding RNA (797 nucleotides) under Homo sapiens (human). Its description in RNAcentral is "HSALNT0072734". Lineage: Eukaryota; Metazoa; Chordata; Mammalia; Primates; Hominidae. The record is from RNAcentral.
GUUUUGGGUACUUCAGUCAACAAGCUGCCAUCUUCAACAUGGGGCAUACAGAGCAGUUUUCAAGCCUCUAUAGAAGUCAUCUUACAGCGAGUCUGAGCCAGUGAAAUGCAGUUAUAGUGAUAUGUGUACUCCCAAGGUAGCUGUCAAUGCUCCUACUCGGAAAUACUCAUAUGUUGCUUCUGACUUGAAGCAGAGGAACUCACAACCUAAGAAGCCACAGGCUUGAAGAUGGCAGAGCACAAGAUGGCAGAAGUUUGGAAUGAAUUACUACUUGAAAGAGAAGCUCUUAUUUACCAAGAAAUAUAUUUUGGAAUUUGCAUGAGUAAGAAAUAAAUCCAAUUAUGCUAACAUUAUCAUUGAAAUUAGAGACGUUUCUGUUAGAGUAGCUGUUGUUACCAUAGCUAAUAUAGAUGAAGAUUAUAUUGAUUUACCAGCAGCCAGAUUGAAUAGGAAAUUUAGGCCAGUGUAAAUCUUCACCUUUCCACCCUUUUUCAGGUAUCCCUGAUCUCCCUAUUUUGCUCUAAACAACCUUUAAUCAACAGUACCUUCGAGGUUCUGACAUUUAUAUUUUUUAGUGUUUGUUUUUCUUAUCUGCUUCCCCUGACCAAUGUAUAUUCCACAAAUAUAGAAAUCUUUGUCUGUUUUGUUCACCGAUUUAUCUCAAUCACCUAAAUCAGUUCUUUGUAUAGAAAACUUGCUCAAUAACACUGAUAAAAAAUUGGCUGACUCUAACUUAUUCCAAAGAAAAAUGAUGCUAUUAACUUUACUAAAAUUAAAUAUCUCUUUACCAAACCAAA